RNAcentral lists this ribosomal RNA (433 nucleotides) under uncultured bacterium. Its description in RNAcentral is "partial 16S ribosomal RNA". It matches the Rfam family "Bacterial small subunit ribosomal RNA", at positions 29 to 507 of the family's 1533-position model. The record is from RNAcentral.
AACGAACGCUGGCGGCAUGCCUAACACAUGCAAGUCGAACGAGACCUUCGGGUCUAGUGGCGCACGGGUGCGUAACGCGUGGGAACCUGCCCUUAGGUUCGGAAUAACUCCCCGAAAGGGGUGCUAAUACCGGAUAAUGUCUUCGGACCAAAGAUUUAUCGCCUUUGGAUGAGCCCGCGUUGGAUUAGCUAGUUGGUAGGGUAAAAGCCUACCAAGGCGACGAUCCAUAGCUGGUCUGAGAGGAUGAUCAGCCACACUGGGACUGGGACACGGCCCAGACUCCUACGGGAGGCAGCAGUGGGGAAUAUUGGACAAUGGGCGAAAGCCUGAUCCAGCAAUGCCGCGUGAGUGAUGAAGGCCUUAGGGUUGUAAAGCUCUUUUACCCGGGAUGAUAAUGACAGUACCGGGAGAAUAAGCGCCGGCUAACUCCGUG